Bactrocera neohumeralis is the source of this 201-nucleotide long non-coding RNA. RefSeq lists it as uncharacterized. The record is from RefSeq and is a predicted model, not a curated record. Lineage: Eukaryota; Metazoa; Arthropoda; Insecta; Diptera; Tephritidae. The transcript has 2 exons.
UAGGCAAUUUUAUAUAAGUUCUCUAUAUGUGACCUGGUCUACGGAAAGGGGGCUUAGGUGUCAAAAAAAAAGGAGAACAAUUAAUGAGAUAACGAGAAACUGACGAUUAUUUUUAACAGCUUUUCCCAGAAAACUAGUUUUCGCACGUUAGCUCCCUUUUCGUAGACCAGGUCACAUAUAUGUAUGUAUGUAUAUAGUAUA